RNAcentral lists this ribosomal RNA (2847 nucleotides) under anaerobic digester metagenome. Its description in RNAcentral is "bacterial LSU rRNA". It matches the Rfam family "Bacterial large subunit ribosomal RNA". The record is from RNAcentral.
AGGGCGCAUGGCGGAUGCCUUGGCUCUCAGAGGCGAUGAAGGACGUGAUAAGCUGCGAUAAGCUUCGGGUAGGUGCAAAUAACUAUUGAUCCGAAGAUUUCCCAAUGGGGCAACCCACCCGGAUGAAGUCCGGGUAUUAUAGGUUUUUGAAUCUAUAAGGCUAACCCGCUGAACUGAAACAUCUAAGUAGGCGGAGGAAAAUAAAACAAUUGUGAUUCCCUCAGUAGCGGCGAGCGAAGCGGGAACAGCCCAAACCCUGCAUGUUUUUUUUGCAUGCAGGGGGUUAUAGGACUGCCGUAUUUAAAUUUUAUUAAGAAGUGGAACAUUCUGGAAAGUUUGAUCAUAGUGGGUGAUAAUCCCGUACACGUAAUUAAUAUUUUUUAAGGCAUACUCCUGAGUAGCGCGGGACACGAGAAAUCCUGUGUGAAUUUGCCGGGCCCAUCCGGUAAGGCUAAAUACUCCUGAGAGACCGAUAGUGCACCAGUACCGUGAGGGAAAGGUGAAAAGUACCCCUAACAGGGGAGUGAAAUAGUACCUGAAACCGUGCGCUUACAAUCUGUCGGAGCUCCUCCUAAAGGCGGAGUGACGGCGUGCCUUUUGCAUAAUGAGCCUACGAGUUAUUCCUUACCAGCUGUGGUUAAUUCUGUUAACAGAAGGAGCCUUAGCGAAAGCGAGUCUUAACAGGGCGUUUUUUUGGUUGGUAGGGAUAGACGCGAAACCUUGUGAUCUACCCAUGGUCAGGUUGAAGUUUCGGUAACACGAAAUGGAGGACCGAACCACUAGACGUUGAAAAGUUUUUGGAUGAACUGUGGGUAGGAGUGAAAGGCUAAUCAAACUGGGAAAUAGCUCGUACUCCCCGAAAUGCAUUUAGGUGCAGCCUUAAUAUAGUUUUACAGAGGUAGAGCUACUGAUAGGACGCGAGGGCUUCAUCGCCUAUCAACUCCUGCCAAACUCCGAAUGCUGUAAAAUGAUUAUUAGGAGUGAGGGCAUGGGUGCUAAGGUCCAUGUCCGAGAGGGAAAGAACCCGGACCAUCAGCUAAGGUCCCCAAAUAUAUGCUAAGUUGAACAAACGCGGUAUGGUUGCCUUGACAGCUAGGAUGUUGGCUUGGAAGCAGCCACUCAUUUAAAGAGUGCGUAACAGCUCACUAGUCGAGCGGCCGUGCAUGUAUGAUAAUCGGGCAUAAGCAUAUUACCGAAGCUAUGGUUCCAACUUUAUUAAGUUGGGAGGUAGGGGAGCAUUCCAAACUGCGCUGAAGCAGUGCUGUGAGGCAUUGUGGAGCGUUUGGAAACGCAAAUGUAGGCAUAAGUAACGAUAAAACGGGUUAAAAACCCGUUCGCCGAAAGACCAAGGUUUCCUGAUCAACGUUAAUCGGAUCAGGGUUAGUCGGAUCCUAAGGCUAAGCCAUAAGGCGAUGUCGAUGGGCAGCAGGUUAAUAUUCCUGCACCUGCCAUACGAUGAAAGUGACGUAGUGAUGAUGUAUCUGGGGGCUGACGGAAUAGCCCGCUGAGCUUAGGCUUCGGCCGAAGCGAAGGUAAUAAUUCACUUCCAAGAAAAGCGAGUAUGGCAGUUCGUACCUUAAACGGACACACGUAGUUGGGUUGAGUAUACUAAGGCGCUCGAGUGAUUCAUGGCUAAGGAACUCGGCAAAUUCACCCUGUAACUUCGGGAUAAAGGGUCCCAUUGUAAGUAUUUAUAUUUAUGGUGGGCGCAGAGAAAUGGCCCAGGCGACUGUUUAUCAAAAACACAUGGCUUUGCUAAAUCGAAAGAUGAUGUAUAAGGCCUGACACCUGCCCGGUGCCGGAAGGUUAAGAGGAGAUGUCAUCCUUUCUUUAUUGAUUGGAGAAGCAUUGAAUUGAAGCCCCGGUAAACGGCGGCCGUAACUAUAACGGUCCUAAGGUAGCGAAAUUCCUUGUCGGGUAAGUUCCGACCUGCACGAAUGGUGUAACGAUCUGGGCACUGUCUCAGCCAUGAGCUCGGUGAAAUUGUAAUAGCGGUGAAGAUGCCGCUUACCCGCAACGGGACGGAAAGACCCCGUGAACCUUUACUGCAACUUAGCAUUGAUUUUGGGUAAGUAAUGUGUAGGAUAGGUCGGAGGCUGUGAAUCAUGUUCGCCAGGACGUGUGGAGUCAUCCUUGAAAUACGACCCUUUACUUGCCCGGGAUCUAAUUCCUCCAUAGGAGGGAGACAUUGCUUGGUGGGUAGUUUGACUGGGGUGGUCGCCUCCUAAAGCGUAACGGAGGCUUCCAAAGGUACCCUCAUGACGUUUGGUAAUCGUCAGUAGAGUAUAAUGGUAUAAGGGUGCUUGACUGCGAGACUUACAAGUCGACCAGGUUGGAAACAAGGGCAUAGUGAUCCGGUGGUUCCGUAUGGAAGGGCCAUCGCUCAAAGGAUAAAAGGUACUCCGGGGAUAACAGGCUGAUCGCCGCCAAGAGCUCAUAUCGACGCGGCGGUUUGGCACCUCGAUGUCGGCUCGUCACAUCCUGGGGCUGGAGAAGGUCCCAAGGGUUGGGCUGUUCGCCCAUUAAAGUGGCACGCGAGCUGGGUUCAGAACGUCGUGAGACAGUUCGGUCCCUAUCUGUUGUGGGCGCUGGAGAUUUGCGAGAACCUGUCAUUAGUACGAGAGGACCGUGAUGGACAGACCUCUGGUGUAUCAGUUGUUCCGCCAGGAGCAUCGCUGAGUAGCUACGUCUGGAAGAGAUAAGUGCUGAAAGCAUCUAAGCACGAAGCUCGUCUCAAGAUUAUAUCUCCUUAUAAGGGGUGUUGGAGACUACAACGUUGAUAGGCUGCAGGUGUAAAGAUGGUAACAUCAAAGCCGAGCAGUACUAAUUACCCGAAACUUUUUGCUU